This 108-nucleotide non-coding RNA is filed under the name Pseudorhodoplanes sinuspersici. Its description in RNAcentral is "TPP sequence". It matches the Rfam family "TPP riboswitch aptamer (THI element)". From Rfam's summary of the family: Vitamin B(1) in its active form thiamin pyrophosphate (TPP) is an essential coenzyme that is synthesised by coupling of pyrimidine and thiazole moieties in bacteria. The previously detected thiamin-regulatory element, thi box was extended, resulting in a new, highly conserved RNA secondary structure, the THI element, which is widely distributed in eubacteria and also occurs in some archaea. Lineage: Bacteria; Pseudomonadati; Pseudomonadota; Alphaproteobacteria; Hyphomicrobiales. The record is from Rfam by way of RNAcentral.
CCUCGUUCCGAGGGGAGUCCCGAAGAGGGGCUGAGAUUCCGCAUAAUGCGGUAACCCUUUGAACCUGAUCCGGGUCAUGCCGGCGAAGGGACAGGGAUAUGCAGUCAA